UGUGUUUAUGAAAAAAUUAUAUUAAUCCUUACACAAUAUUUUUGAUGUGUUCUAAUACUGGAAAUAUUUGUUACUAUUCCAGGUAUAACACGAGGUGGUUAGCGGUCGUCGUUGGAGGUGGUUUGAGGUGGUUACGGGAUGGUUGCGGGUGAUCGAGGAUUCCAAGUAUUUGACAAAAGUGAUACCUUAUCACAUGAACAGUGGCCCACCUGAUAAUCAAGCUUUACAAAUCCUCAUUAAAAUAUUAAAGGCUAUUAAUGAGGAUAAUCCAACGGUGCCCACAUUAUUAACGGACUACGUAUUGAAUGUUCUGUGCCCCACCUAGUGAUCCACUAGUACAUAUCCUCCGACGUGACAACG
This is a long non-coding RNA of Neodiprion virginianus, 360 nucleotides long. RefSeq lists it as uncharacterized. NCBI's taxonomy places the organism in Eukaryota, Metazoa, Arthropoda, Insecta, Hymenoptera, Diprionidae. The record is from RefSeq and is a predicted model, not a curated record. The transcript is spliced from 4 exons.